GCUUCUCUAGCUCAAUUGGUAGAGCAGGGGCCUUUUAAGCCUUGGGUUGUGGGUUCGAGUCCCACGGGGAGCACGA
Molecule: transfer RNA, 76 nt
Filed under: Bifidobacterium pseudolongum subsp. globosum
Lineage: Bacteria; Bacillati; Actinomycetota; Actinomycetes; Bifidobacteriales; Bifidobacteriaceae
Description: tRNA-Lys
Rfam family: tRNA
About the family: Transfer RNA (tRNA) molecules are approximately 80 nucleotides in length. Their secondary structure includes four short double-helical elements and three loops (D, anti-codon, and T loops).
Source: RNAcentral